CUCCUACGGGAGGCAGCAGCUAGGAAUUUUGCGCAAUGGGGGAAACCCUGACGCAGCAACGCCGCGUGAAUGAUGAAGGCCUUCGGGUUGUAAAGUUCUUUUAGCAGGGACGAAAAAAAUGACUGUACCUGCAGAAAAAGCACCGGCAAACUUCGUGCCAGCAGCCGCGGUAAUACGAAGGGUGCAAGCGUUACUCGGAAUCACUGGGCUUAAAGCGUUUGUAGGUCGUUCGGUUAGUUUGGUGUGAAAUCCCACAGCUCAAAUGUGGAAGUGCAUUGGAUACUGGCGGGCUGGAGUGUGGCAGAGGGGGGUGGAAUUCCGCGUGUAGCAGUGAAAUGCGUAGAGAUGCGGAGGAACACCGAUGGCGAAGGCAGCCCCCUGGGCUGACACUGACGCUCAGGCACGAAAGCGUGGGGAGCAAACAGGAUUAGAUACCCUGGUAGUCCACGCCCUAAACGAUGAUCACUGGGUGUUCGGGGAGCGAUCUCUGGGUACCGUAGCUAACGCGUGAAG
Molecule: ribosomal RNA, 513 nt
Filed under: uncultured bacterium
Lineage: Bacteria
Description: bacterial SSU rRNA
Rfam family: Bacterial small subunit ribosomal RNA
Source: RNAcentral